RNAcentral lists this ribosomal RNA (428 nucleotides) under uncultured eukaryote. Its description in RNAcentral is "SSU rRNA". It matches the Rfam family "Eukaryotic small subunit ribosomal RNA", at positions 567 to 990 of the family's 1831-position model. The record is from RNAcentral.
CCAGCAGCUGCGGUAAUUCCAGCUCCAAUAGCGUAUACUAAAGUUGUUGCAGUUAAAAAGCUCGUAGUUGAAUUUCUGAUAUAAUAGGAUGAGUUUUGCUUUUCAUUAAGUAUUACUUCAUAUUCAUAUUAUAUCAUCAUCGAAAAGAUUAUAUUUGGUCAUUCAUUUGUCCAGUAUAAGAUUUUCGUCAUUUACUGUGAGUAAAAUAGAGUGUUCAAAGCAGGCUUAAGCUGUUGAAUAUAUUAGCAUGGAAUAAUAAUAUAAGACCUUGGUCUUUAUUUGUUGGUUUAUUUAUCGAGGUAAUGAUUAAUAGGGAUAGUUGGGGGUAUUCGUAUUCAAUUGUCAGAGGUGAAAUUCUUGGAUUUAUGGAAGACGAACAACUGCGAAAGCAUUUACCAAGGAUGUUUUCAUUAAUCAAGAACGAAAGU